Molecule: ribosomal RNA, 257 nt
Filed under: Herennia etruscilla
Lineage: Eukaryota; Metazoa; Arthropoda; Arachnida; Araneae; Nephilidae
Description: partial 12S ribosomal RNA
Source: RNAcentral
AACCUGUUAAAUAAUCGAUAAUCCACGCUAAAUUUCACUUUUAUUUAUAUUUUAUAUACCUCCAUCUAAAGAAUUUAUCAUCAUAAUAUUAUUCAAAAAAGACAACUAAUAAGUUAGGUAAAGGUGUAGACUACAUAAAAGAUAUAAUGGGUUACUAUAAAAAUUAUUUAAGGAAAAAUAAUGAAAAUUAUUUUAUAAAAAGGAUUUAUAAGUAAUAUCUAAAUAAUAUUAAGAUUUGAAAAUGAAAAUAAAUGUGU